RNAcentral lists this ribosomal RNA (505 nucleotides) under uncultured bacterium. RNAcentral's name for it is "partial 16S ribosomal RNA". It matches the Rfam family "Bacterial small subunit ribosomal RNA", at positions 29 to 523 of the family's 1533-position model. The record is from RNAcentral.
AGUGAACGCUGGCGGUAGGCCUAACACAUGCAAGUCGAACGGCAGCACAGAGGAGCUUGCUCCUUGGGUGGCGAGUGGCGGACGGGUGAGGAAUACAUCGGAAUCUACUCUGUCGUGGGGGAUAACGUAGGGAAACUUACGCUAAUACCGCAUACGACCUACGGGUGAAAGCAGGGGAUCUUCGGACCUUGCGCGAUUGAAUGAGCCGAUGUCGGAUUAGCUAGUUGGCGGGGUAAAGGCCCACCAAGGCGACGAUCCGUAGCUGGUCUGAGAGGAUGAUCAGCCAAACUGGAACUGAGACACGGUCAGACUCCUACGGGAGGCAGCAGUGGGGAAUAUUGGACAAUGGGCGCAAGCCUGAUCCAGCCAUACCGCGUGGGUGAGGAAGGCCUUCGGGUUGUAAAGCCCUUUUGUUGGGAAAGAGAUCCAUCUGGUUAAUACCCGGGUGGGAUGACGGUACCCAAAGAAUAAGCACCGGCUAACUUCGUGCCAGCAGCCGCGGUAA